GCACAAACAUAAACAUACGAAGGGCUGAGUACAAGAGUACUCAGUGGGCAGUGCCAAGCAUAUAACAUAAUAUCAACAACAAAACACAACUUCGCAUAAGAGGCAUAAGUUUCUUUCAAAUCCUUUGCUCAUUAAACAUUUCCAUAUUCAUAAACAGCAUGAGCGCAUUUUUCAUCAUUAACAAUCAUCAACACGCAUCGUGUCGUGGAGAAGGCCUUCCCCAACGAACACGGGCAUCGCACCAUGAAGGGGGCCUCCCUCAG
RNAcentral lists this long non-coding RNA (263 nucleotides) under Salvia miltiorrhiza (redroot sage). Its description in RNAcentral is "long non-coding RNA (SMIL_LNC003790)". The record is from RNAcentral. Lineage: Eukaryota; Viridiplantae; Streptophyta; Magnoliopsida; Lamiales; Lamiaceae.